GGCCUUCGGGUUGUAAAGCCCUUUUGUUGGGAAAGAAAUCCAGCUGGCUAAUACCCGGUUGGGAUGACGGUACCCAAAGAAUAAGCACCGGCUAACUUCGUGCCAGCAGCCGCGGUAAUACGAAGGGGGCUAGCGUUGCUCGGAAUUACUGGGCGUAAAGGGAGCGUAGGCGGACUGUUAAGUUAGAGGUGAAAGCCCAGGGCUCAACCUUGGAAUUGCCUUUAAUACUGGCAGUCUUGAGUACGGAAGAGGUAUGUGGAACUCCGAGUGUAGAGGUGAAAUUCGU
RNAcentral lists this ribosomal RNA (286 nucleotides) under Prymnesium parvum. RNAcentral's name for it is "partial Bacterial small subunit ribosomal RNA". It matches the Rfam family "Bacterial small subunit ribosomal RNA", at positions 413 to 691 of the family's 1533-position model. Lineage: Eukaryota; Haptophyta; Prymnesiales; Prymnesiaceae. The record is from RNAcentral.